RNAcentral lists this ribosomal RNA (510 nucleotides) under uncultured Glomus. RNAcentral describes it as "SSU rRNA". It matches the Rfam family "Eukaryotic small subunit ribosomal RNA", at positions 569 to 1081 of the family's 1831-position model. Lineage: Eukaryota; Fungi; Glomeromycota; Glomeromycetes; Glomerales; Glomeraceae. The record is from RNAcentral.
AGCAGCCGCGGUAAUUCCAGCUCCAAUAGCGUAUAUUAAAGUUGUUGCAGUUAAAAAGCUCGUAGUUGAAUUUCGGGAUCAAUCUGUUGGUCGUGCCUUUGGUACGUACUAGCUUAUUGAUUUCUCCCUUCUGACGAACCAUGAUGUCAUUAAUUUGGUGUCAUGGGAAAUCAGGACUGUUACUUUGAAAAAAUUAGAGUGUUUAAAGCAGGCUCACGCUUGAAUACAUUAGCAUGGAAUAAUGAAAUAGGACGUUUUGAUUCUAUUUUGUUGGUUUCUAGGAUCGACGUAAUGAUUAAUAGGGAUAGUUGGGGGCAUUAGUAUUCAAUUGUCAGAGGUGAAAUUCUUGGAUUUAUUGAAGACUAACUACUGCGAAAGCAUUUGCCAAGGAUGUUUUCAUUAAUCAAGAACGAAAGUUAGGGGAUCGAAGACGAUCAGAUACCGCCGUAGUCUUAACCAUAAACUAUGCCGACUAGGGAUCGGAUGAUGCUAAUUUUUAAUGACUCAUUC